GACGAACGCUGGCGGCGUGCUUAACACAUGCAAGUCGAACGGAAAGGCCCUGCUUUUGUGGGGUGCUCGAGUGGCGAACGGGUGAGUAACACGUGAGUAACCUGCCCUUGACUUUGGGAUAACUUCAGGAAACUGGGGCUAAUACCGGAUAGGAGCUCCUGCUGCAUGGUGGGGGUGGGAAAGUUUCGGCGGGUGGGGAUGGACUCGCGGCUUAUCAGCUUGUUGGUGGGGUAGUGGCUGACCAAGGCUUUGACGGGUAGCCGGCCUGAGAGGGUGACCGGCGACAUUGGGCCUGAGAGACGGCCCAGACUCCUACGGGAGGCAGCAGUGGGGAAUAUUGCACAAUGGGCGGAAGCCUGAUGCAGCAGCGCCGCGUGCGGGAUGACGGCCUUCGGGUUGUAAACCGCUUUCGCCUGUGACGAAGCGUGAGUGACGGUAAUGGGUAAAGAAGCACCGGCUAACUACGUG
Molecule: ribosomal RNA, 468 nt
Filed under: uncultured bacterium
Lineage: Bacteria
Description: partial 16S ribosomal RNA
Rfam family: Bacterial small subunit ribosomal RNA
Source: RNAcentral